Molecule: ribosomal RNA, 519 nt
Filed under: uncultured eukaryote
Lineage: Eukaryota
Description: SSU rRNA
Rfam family: Eukaryotic small subunit ribosomal RNA
Source: RNAcentral
AGGGCACCACCAGGAGUGGAGCCUGCGGCUUAAUUUGACUCAACACGGGAAACCUCACCCGGCCCGGACACGGACAGGAUUGACAGAUCGAUAGCUCUUUCUCGAUUCCGUGGGUGGUGGUGCAUGGCCGUUCUUAGUUGGUGGAGCGAUUUGUCUGGUUAAUUCCGAUAACGAACGAGACUCUGGCAUGCUAACUAGUUACGCGACCCCCCGAGCGGUCGGCGUCCCCCAACUUCUUAGAGGGACAAGUGGCGUUCAGCCACCCGAGAUUGAGCAAUAACAGGUCUGUGAUGCCCUUAGAUGUCCGGGGCUGCACGCGCGCUACACUGACUGGCUCAGCGUGUGCCUACCCUACGCCGGCAGGCGCGGGUAACCCGUUGAACCCCAUUCGCGAUGGGGAUCGGGGAUUGCAAUUAUUCCCCAUGAACGGGGAAUUCCCAGUAAGUGCGGGUCAUAAGCUUGCAUUGAUUUAGUCCCUGCCCUUGUACACACAUCCCCGUCGCCGCUACUAAUUGAAUG